GAGGAAUAUUGGUCAAUGGGCGAGAGCCUGAACCAGCCAAGUAGCGUGCAGGAAGACGGCCCUAUGGGUUGUAAACUGCUUUUAUGUGGGGAUAAAGUGAGCUACGUGUAGUUUAUUGCAGGUACCACAUGAAUAAGGACCGGCUAAUUCCGUGCCAGCAGCCGCGGUAAUACGGAAGGUCCAGGCGUUGUCCGGAUUUAUUGGGUUUAAAGGGAGCGUAGGCCGUGGAUUAAGCGUGUUGUGAAAUGUAGACGCUCAACGUCUGAAUUGCAGCGCGAACUGGUUCACUUGAGUAUGCACAACGUAGGCGGAAUUCGUCGUGUAGCGGUGAAAUGCUUAGAUAUGACGAAGAACUCCGAUUGCGAAGGCAGCUUACGGGAGCACAACUGACGCUGAAGCUCGAAGGUGCGGGUAUCAAACAGGAUUAGAUACCCUGGUAGUCCGCACAGUAAACGAUGGAUGCCCGUUGUUAGUUCACUUAAGAAUUAGCGACCAAGCGAAAGCAUUAAGCAUCCCACCUGGGGAGUACGCCGGCAACGGUG
Molecule: ribosomal RNA, 542 nt
Filed under: uncultured bacterium
Lineage: Bacteria
Description: bacterial SSU rRNA
Rfam family: Bacterial small subunit ribosomal RNA
Source: RNAcentral